Molecule: microRNA precursor, 84 nt
Filed under: Bombyx mori (domestic silkworm)
Lineage: Eukaryota; Metazoa; Arthropoda; Insecta; Lepidoptera; Bombycidae
Description: mir-2807 microRNA precursor family
Rfam family: mir-2807 microRNA precursor family
Source: Rfam by way of RNAcentral
UUAACUCAAAUUUGUACGGAGUUGGAACGUUUGCCUACGUAUGCCGCUAGGGGCGCUGUUCCAGCUACAUACAAAUUUGAGUUA